GCCCUCCCGAUUCCUUACCCUUCAGAUCUAACUGUUGGUCUGAGUGGAUACAAGGGGGAGGGGAAAGGUAAACUCGAAGAGGACUUGGAAUCUUUAGUGAUGUGAAAGUUCAUUUCAAACAUGU
RNAcentral lists this small nucleolar RNA (124 nucleotides) under Echinops telfairi (small Madagascar hedgehog). RNAcentral's name for it is "Small nucleolar RNA SNORA61 (ENSETEG00000025119.1)". The record is from RNAcentral. Lineage: Eukaryota; Metazoa; Chordata; Mammalia; Afrosoricida; Tenrecidae.